This 253-nucleotide ribosomal RNA is filed under the name uncultured bacterium. RNAcentral's name for it is "partial 16S ribosomal RNA". It matches the Rfam family "Bacterial small subunit ribosomal RNA", at positions 524 to 776 of the family's 1533-position model. The record is from RNAcentral.
UACGUAGGUGGCAAGCGUUGUCCGGAUUUACUGGGCGUAAAGGGUGCGUAGGCGGCGCGGUAAGUCGGGUGUGAAAUCUCGGGGCUUAACUCCGAAACUGCAUUCGAUACUGCCGUGCUUGAGGACUGGAAAGGAGACUGGAAUUUACGGUGUAGCGGUGAAAUGCGUAGAUAUCGUAAGGAAGACCAGUGGCGAAGGCGGGUCUCUGGACAGUUCCUGACGCUGAGGCACGAAGGUCAGGGGAGCAAACGGG